RNAcentral lists this ribosomal RNA (911 nucleotides) under Didymella pinodes (pea foot rot fungus). Its description in RNAcentral is "LSU rRNA". It matches the Rfam family "Eukaryotic large subunit ribosomal RNA", at positions 38 to 965 of the family's 3401-position model. The record is from RNAcentral. Lineage: Eukaryota; Fungi; Ascomycota; Dothideomycetes; Pleosporales; Didymellaceae.
GCAUAUCAAUAAGCGGAGGAAAAGAAACCAACAGGGAUUGCCCUAGUAACGGCGAAGUGAAGCGGCAACAGCUCAAAUUUGAAAUCUGGCGUCUUCGGCGUCCGAGUUGUAAUUUGCAGAGGGCGCUUUGGCAUUGGCAGCGGUCCAAGUUCCUUGGAACAGGACGUCACAGAGGGUGAGAAUCCCGUACGUGGUCGCUAGCCUUUACCGUGUAAAGCCCCUUCGACGAGUCGAGUUGUUUGGGAAUGCAGCUCUAAAUGGGAGGUAAAUUUCUUCUAAAGCUAAAUACUGGCCAGAGACCGAUAGCGCACAAGUAGAGUGAUCGAAAGAUGAAAAGCACUUUGGAAAGAGAGUUAAAAAGCACGUGAAAUUGUUGAAAGGGAAGCGCUUGCAGCCAGACUUGCCUGUAGUUGCUCAUCCGGGUUUCUACCCGGUGCACUCUUCUAUGGGCAGGCCAGCAUCAGUUUGGGCGGUUGGAUAAAGGUCUCUGUCAUGUACCUCUCUUCGGGGAGAACUUAUAGGGGAGACGUCAUGCAACCAGCCUGGACUGAGGUCCGCGCAUCUGCUAGGAUGCUGGCGUAAUGGCUGUAAGCGGCCCGUCUUGAAACACGGACCAAGGAGUCUAACAUCUAUGCGAGUGUUUGGGUGUCAAGCCCGAGCGCGUAAUGAAAGUGAACGGAGGUGGGAACCUUUCGGGGUGCACCAUCGACCGAUCCUGAUGUCUUCGGAUGGAUUUGAGUAAGAGCAUAGCUGUUGGGACCCGAAAGAUGGUGAACUAUGCUUGAAUAGGGUGAAGCCAGAGGAAACUCUGGUGGAGGCUCGCAGCGGUUCUGACGUGCAAAUCGAUCGUCAAAUUUGGGCAUAGGGGCGAAAGACUAAUCGAACUAUCUAGUAGCUGGGUUCCUGCCGAA